UGAAAUAGAACCUGAAACCGUGUACGUACAAGCAGUGGGAGCACCUUCGUGGUGUGACUGCGUACCUUUUGUAUAAUGGGUCAGCGACUUAUAUUUUGUAGCAAGGUUAACCGUAUAGGGGAGCCGUAGGGAAACCGAGUCUUAACUGGGCGACUAGUUGCAAGGUAUAGACCCGAAACCCGGUGAUCUAGCCAUGGGCAGGUUGAAGGUUGGGUAACACUAACUGGAGGACCGAACCGACUAAUGUUGAAAAAUUAGCGGAUGACUUGUGGCUGGGGGUGAAAGGCCAAUCAAACCGGGAGAUAGCUGGUUCUCCCCGAAAGCUAUUUAGGUAGCGCCUCGUGAACUCAUCUUCGGGGGUAGAGCACUGUUUCGGCUAGGGGGCCAUCCCGGCUUACCAAACCGAUGCAAACUCCGAAUACCGAAGAAUGUUAUCACGGGAGACACACGGCGGGUGCUAACGUCCGUCGUGAAGAGGGAAACAACCCAGACCGCCAGCUAAGGUCCCAAAGUCAUGGUUAAGUGGGAAACGAUGUGGGAAGGCAUAGACAGCCAGGAUGUUGGCUUAGAAGCAGCCAUCAUUUAAAGAAAGCGUAAUAGCUCACUGGUCGAGUCGGCCUGCGCGGAAGAUGUAACGGGGCUAAACCAUGCACCGAAGCUGCGGCAGCGACGCUUAGCGUUGUUGGGUAGGGGAGCGUUCUGUAAGCCGUUGAAGGUGGCCUGUGAGGGUUGCUGGAGGUAUCAGAAGUGCGAAUGCUGACAUAAGUAACGAUAAAGCGGGUGAAAAGCCCGCUCGCCGGAAGACCAAGGGUUCCUGUCCAACGUUAAUCGGGGCAGGGUGAGUCGACCCCUAAGGCGAGGCUGAAAAGCGUAGUCGAUGGGAAACAGGUUAAUAUUCCUGUACUUGGUGUUACUGCGAAGGGGGGACGGAGAAGGCUAGGCUAGCCGGGCGACGGUUGUCCCGGUUUAAGCGUGUAGGGGGUGUGACCUGGUAAAUCCGGUUGCAUGUUAACCCUGAGGCGUGAUGACGAUGCACUACGGUGCAGAAGUAGUUGAUGCCCUGCUUCCAGGAAAAUCCUCUAAGCUCCAGGUAACAUUAAAUCGUACCCCAAACCGACACAGGUGGUCAGGUAGAGAAUACCAAGGCGCUUGAGAGAACUCGGGUGAAGGAACUAGGCAAAAUGGUGCCGUAACUUCGGGAGAAGGCACGCUGGCAUGUAGGUGAAGUCCCUCGCGGAUGGAGCUGAAGCCAGUCGAAGAUACCAGCUGGCUGCAACUGUUUAAUAAAAACACAGCACUGUGCAAACACGAAAGUGGACGUAU
Molecule: non-coding RNA, 1323 nt
Filed under: Lysobacter defluvii IMMIB APB-9 = DSM 18482
Lineage: Bacteria; Pseudomonadati; Pseudomonadota; Gammaproteobacteria; Lysobacterales; Lysobacteraceae
Description: Bacterial large subunit ribosomal RNA
Rfam family: Bacterial large subunit ribosomal RNA
Source: Rfam by way of RNAcentral